ACGCCAAGUGGUAAAGAUAAAGUAAUUUCACCAUAAUAACAUUAAUCUUAGCAAUAAAAAAGAAAUUAUGGUAUAAU
Molecule: small RNA, 77 nt
Filed under: Parvimonas sp. oral taxon 393 str. F0440
Lineage: Bacteria; Bacillati; Bacillota; Tissierellia; Tissierellales; Peptoniphilaceae
Description: dfrA-dnaX RNA
Rfam family: dfrA-dnaX RNA
Source: Rfam by way of RNAcentral